RNAcentral lists this ribosomal RNA (484 nucleotides) under uncultured bacterium. RNAcentral describes it as "partial 16S ribosomal RNA". It matches the Rfam family "Bacterial small subunit ribosomal RNA", at positions 28 to 507 of the family's 1533-position model. The record is from RNAcentral.
AUUGAACGCUGGCGGCAUGCUUUACACAUGCAAGUCGAACGGCAGCGCGGGCUUCGGCCUGGCGGCGAGUGGCGAACGGGUGAGUAAUGCAUUGGAACGUGCCCAGUAGUGGGGGAUAGCCCGGCGAAAGCCGGAUUAAUACCGCAUACGACCUGAGGGUGAAAGCGGGGGACCGAAAGGCCUCGCGCUAUUGGAGCGGCCGAUGUCGGAUUAGCUAGUUGGUGGGGUAAAGGCUUACCAAGGCGACGAUCCGUAGCUGGUCUGAGAGGACGACCGGCCACACUGGAAGUGAGACACGGCCCAGACUCCUACGGGAGGCAGCAGUGGGGAAUUUUGGACAAUGGGGGCAACCCUGAUCCAGCCAUGCCGCGUGCGGGAAGAAGGCCUUCGGGUUGUAAACCGCUUUUGUUCGGGAAGAAAUCCUCUGGGCUAAUACCCCGGGGGGAUGACGGUACCGGAAGAAUAAGCACCGGCUAACUACGUG